GAUGAACGCUGGCGGCGUGCCUAAUACAUGCAAGUCGAGCGAACAGACGAUGAGCUUGCUCCUCUGACGUUAGCGGCGGACGGGUGAGUAACACGUGGAUAACCUACCUAUAAGACUGGGAUAACUUCGGGAAACCAGAGCUAAUACCGGAUAAUAUAUUGAACCGCAUGGUUCAAUAGUGAAAGACGGUUUUGCUGUCACUUAUAGCUGGAUCCGCGCCGCAUUAGCUAGUUGGUAAGGUAACGGCUUACCAAGGCAACGAUGCGUAGCCGACCUGAGAGGGUGAUCGGCCACACUGGAACUGAGACACGGUCCAGACUCCUACGGGAGGCAGCAGUAGGGAAUCUUCCGCAAUGGGCGAAAGCCUGACGGAGCAACGCCGCGUGAGUGAUGAAGGUCUUCGGAUCGUAAAACUCUGUUAUUAGGGAAGAACAAAUGUGUAAGUAACUAUGCACGUCUUGACGGUACCUAAUCAGAAAGCCACGGCUAACUACGUG
This 497-nucleotide ribosomal RNA is filed under the name uncultured bacterium. RNAcentral describes it as "partial 16S ribosomal RNA". It matches the Rfam family "Bacterial small subunit ribosomal RNA", at positions 28 to 507 of the family's 1533-position model. The record is from RNAcentral.